GUUUUUCUUUUAGUCAAGAUGAGUAAUAAGCCAGACUUGUCUGAAGUGGAGAAGUUUGGUCAAAACUGAAGAAAACUAACACUAAAGAAAAAAAUACUCUCCCUUCAAAGGAAAGUAAGUCAUGGAUGGGGCUGGGGGUUUCUAAUGGAGAAAAACAAUGGUGAACAUUGAUAGGCUCAGUAAAUAAACUCUUCUAGUAAAUUUUGCCACUAAGUAAGAAAUAAUUAUAGUACCACUGUAUUUAAUGCAACAGUUAAAAAUACCAAAUAGUUGUCUUCUUACUUGCAUUAUACAAAUGGUUCUCACAUGAUAGACCCAAGAAGUAAUGGGGGAAUAAAAAACUAAUUUCUUGUUGAAAAUUACUACAAAUAUCUUUACAACCAAUCUUGGAAUGUUAGACUUAGUACUAGAAAAAUCUUUGUUUUGUCUACUUAAUGGUUAUUAGGCAUUUUCUGCAUCUAGCCAUUUUGGCCUGUGAUUUCAUUCCUAGAAAACCACACAAACUGCAGUGUUGGCUUUCUCUACCUGAUGACAAAAUAAGGCAGAGAACAAGUUUAGAUCUUGGGUGCACUCAAGGCUCCCAGACUCAAGGGAUCAGGUUUGCCCUUGGGAGUUUUAGCCUGAUAGAGAAACUCCAAACAUAUUCACAAAAUUGAGGGACAUUUUUUGCCAUGUCAGUGUUACUUGAGUUUCACAGUUAGUCAUAAUUGUCUAAAGGGUAUAACUUCCUAAUUACAUAGUGAUAGUUAAACCUGAGGAAAAUGCUUCACUUCUUCAGUCUCAGAAUAAUCUAUGGAAAAAAUGGCAACAGCAUAAAUCUCCCUCUCAAAUGAAAAAAAAAAAAACAGUUGAUGUAAAUCCUAAUGAAUGUUCAGGUGGUUAACAUUCAUGCAUGCACAACACACACACUCACAUACACAUAUACACACACACUUGAAUGGGGAUUUGUGGUUAGUGCUUUGGCCUUCUAAAUUUAAAGCAGAUAUGGCAGCCUUCAGUAACUUGGCAAAGAACUCUUGGAAGAAAACUGAACUUCUAGAAAUAUACCUUCUUAAUGAUUUUUUGUGUUUGUUUUUUCCCCUAGCUAUCCAACAAGAUAAAGAGUGUGUUCAAACAUCAUAAAAUGUGGAUCUCCUCCCAACAGAAAAUUUCAACAUUGCUUUAGUGUCUUAGUUUGGGGCUUGUUUUUUUGUAAACUUAUGUGUUUGUAGCUAUUUUAGGCAUCUUCUGAUGUCUUCCCAUCCAUAUCCCCUAGCCAAGAGGUCAGGGGAAGCCAGUGUUCCCUUUUUUUAAACUUUCCAUUGGUACACACAUUCCAGUUGGCAGAUGCUGUUAAUAAUCUUACCAUUGAUGACAUUUCUGUGUGUAGUCCUUGCACCCCCAAAGGUUAAACCACUUUUAACUUUCUAUAGUGGCUGUAUUUGUUGUUCCAUAAUAUUCAUGAAGUGGCAUACAUUUGCACCUUCUCAGUUUAUUUUCAUUUCUAAUGUAGCGAUAAAAUAAUAAAU
Molecule: long non-coding RNA, 1508 nt
Filed under: Lynx pardinus (Iberian lynx)
Lineage: Eukaryota; Metazoa; Chordata; Mammalia; Carnivora; Felidae
Source: RNAcentral